GGAGCGGUGUCCGAGCGGUCGAAGGAAGCGGUCUUGAAAACCGCCGAGCCGAAAGGCUCCGUGGGUUCGAAUCCCACCUGCUCCG
Molecule: transfer RNA, 85 nt
Filed under: Spirochaetales bacterium
Lineage: Bacteria; Pseudomonadati; Spirochaetota; Spirochaetia; Spirochaetales
Also listed under: 1 other name
Description: tRNA-Ser
Rfam family: tRNA
About the family: Transfer RNA (tRNA) molecules are approximately 80 nucleotides in length.
Source: RNAcentral